GGGGAUGUUACGGAUUCGACAGGCAUUGUUUGAGCUUGAAGUGCGCUUUGUAGGUUACGACUACAUUAAAACGUUCAGUUAAAUAUAACUGCUAAAAAUAAUAACAACAAUUUCGCUUUAGCUGCGUAAAAACAGUUAACGAAGAUCCUCUUGGCAUCGCCCAUGUGCUCAAGUAAGGGUCUCAAAUUUAGUGGGAUACGCUUUGACUUUCCGUCUGUAAGUCACUGAAGAGAUCAUCAGACUAGCAAUAUAAACAGCUUGUCACUCAGCGGUUUAUAACGCGAAUCUUUUAAAUUGAGGCGACUAUGAGCGUAGAACUUUGAGUAGCGAAAUGUUUGGACGCGGGUUCGACUCCCGCCAUCUCCAU
Molecule: transfer-messenger RNA, 367 nt
Filed under: uncultured Tetragenococcus sp.
Lineage: Bacteria; Bacillati; Bacillota; Bacilli; Lactobacillales; Enterococcaceae
Rfam family: transfer-messenger RNA
About the family: Bacterial tmRNA, also known as 10Sa RNA or SsrA, is named for its dual tRNA and mRNA-like properties. Its role is to liberate the mRNA from a stalled ribosome.
Source: RNAcentral